GACGAACGCUGGCGGCGUGCUUAACACAUGCAAGUGGAGCGACGAACCGGGCUUCGGCCCGGGGCAAAGCCGCGAACGGGUGAGUAUCACGUGGGUAGCCUGCCCCGAUGACCGGGACAACCCGAGGAAACUCGGGCUAAUACCGGAUGUGCUCCUCGCACACCAGUGCAAGGAGGAAAGGAAGCUUCGGCCUCCGCAUCGGGAUGGGCCCGCGGCCCAUUAGCUUGUUGGUGAGGUAAAGGCUCACCAAGGCGACGAUGGGUAGCUGGUCUGAGAGGACGAUCAGCCACACUGGGACUGAGACACGGCCCAGACUCCUACGGGGGGAAGCAGUGGGGAAUCUUGCGCAAUGCGCGAAAGCGUGACGCAGCAACGCCGCGUGAGGGAAGAAGGCCUUCGGGUUGUAAACCUCUUUCAGGAGGGACGAAGGUUCAGGCGCGAAUAGCGUCCUGGACUGACGGUACCUCCAGAAGAAGCCCCGGCUAGCUACGUGCCAGCAGCCGCCGCAG
This 509-nucleotide ribosomal RNA is filed under the name uncultured bacterium. Its description in RNAcentral is "partial 16S ribosomal RNA". It matches the Rfam family "Bacterial small subunit ribosomal RNA", at positions 28 to 523 of the family's 1533-position model. The record is from RNAcentral.